Molecule: ribosomal RNA, 429 nt
Filed under: Verrucomicrobiota bacterium
Lineage: Bacteria; Pseudomonadati; Verrucomicrobiota
Description: Verrucomicrobia bacterium partial 16S ribosomal RNA
Rfam family: Bacterial small subunit ribosomal RNA
Source: RNAcentral
UAGGGAAUCUUCCUCAAUGGACGAAAGUCUGACGGAGCAACGCCGCGUGAGUGAAGAAGGAUUUCGGUUCGUAAAACUCUGUUGUUAGGGAAGAAAAAAUGUAUAGUAACUAUAUACAAAAGAGACGGUACCUAACCAGAAAGCCACGGCUAACUACGUGCCAGCAGCCGCGGUAAUACGUAGGUGGCAAGCGUUGUCCGGAAUUAUUGGGCGUAAAGCGCGCGCAGGUGGUUUAGAAAGUCUGAUGUGAAAGCCCACGGCUCAACCGUGGAGGGUCAUUGGAAACUAAUAAACUUGAGUGCAGCAGAGCACAGUGGAAUUCCUAGUGUAGCGGUGAAAUGCGUAGAGAUUAGGAGGAACACCGGUGGCGAAAGCGGCUUCUUGGCCUGAAACUGACACUGAGGCGCGAAAGCGUGGGGAGCAAACAGG